CCUACGGGGGGCUGCAGUAAGGAAUCUUCCGCAAUGGGCGAAAGCCUGACGGAGCAACGCCGCGUGUGGGAUGACGCCUUUCGGGGUGUAAACCACUUUUCUCGGGGAAGAAGCACUGACGGUACCUGAGGAAUAAGGACCGGCUAACUACGUGCCAGCAGCCGCGGUAAUACGUAGGGUCCGAGCGUUGUCCGGAGUUACUGGGCGUAAAGCGCGCGCAGGCGGCGGUGUAAGCAUGGCGUGAAAGCCCCCGGCUCAACCGGGGAGGGUCGUCGUGGACUGCACCGCUUGAGGGCGAUAGGGGCUGGUGGAAUGCCUGGUGUAGUGGUGAAAUGCGUAGAGAUCAGGCGGAACACCCGUGGCGAAGGCGGCCAGCUGGGCCGUCCCUGACGCUGAGGCGCGAAGGCGUGGGGAGCGAACGGGCUUAGAUACCCUAGUAGUC
RNAcentral lists this ribosomal RNA (442 nucleotides) under uncultured Thermomicrobia bacterium. RNAcentral's name for it is "bacterial SSU rRNA". It matches the Rfam family "Bacterial small subunit ribosomal RNA", at positions 338 to 795 of the family's 1533-position model. The record is from RNAcentral. Lineage: Bacteria; Pseudomonadati; Thermomicrobiota; Thermomicrobia.